GAUGAAGAACGCAGCGAAAUGCGAUAAGUAAUGUGAAUUGCAGAAUUCAGUGAAUCAUCGAAUCUUUGAACGCACAUUGCGCCCGGCAGUACUCUGCCGGGCAUGCCUGUUCGAGCGUCAUUUCAACCCUCAAGCCCUGCUUGGUGUUGGGGUCCCACGGCCGCCGUGGGCCCUGAAAGGAAGUGGCGGGCUCGCUACAACUCCGAGCGUAGUAGAUUUUCAUCUCGCUCAGGGCGUGCUGCGGGUUCCGGCCGUAAAAAGCCUUAUUUACCCAAGGUUGACCUCGGAUCAGGUAGGAAGACCCGCUGAACUUAAGCAUAUCAAUAAGCGGAGGA
This 335-nucleotide unclassified non-coding RNA is filed under the name soil metagenome. RNAcentral describes it as "partial contains 5.8S ribosomal RNA, internal transcribed spacer 2, and large subunit ribosomal RNA". The stretch from base 1 to 120 matches the Rfam family "5.8S ribosomal RNA", at positions 35 to 154 of the family's 154-position model. The record is from RNAcentral.